UACGGUCAAAUCACUUUGAAAAACCGGUUUCAGUACGAUCACCAAAGUUAAGCAACGUCGAGUCUGGUCAGUACCUAGAUGGGUGACCGUUUGGAAAUAACAGGUGCAG
Non-coding RNA from Acanthosepion pharaonis, 109 nucleotides. The record is from the annotation of a GenBank genome assembly. NCBI's taxonomy places the organism in Eukaryota, Metazoa, Mollusca, Cephalopoda, Sepiida, Sepiidae.